Non-coding RNA from Petromyzon marinus (sea lamprey), 2526 nucleotides. NCBI's taxonomy places the organism in Eukaryota, Metazoa, Chordata, Hyperoartia, Petromyzontiformes, Petromyzontidae. The record is from RefSeq and is a predicted model, not a curated record.
AGGGGUGGUAGGGAGCCGCUUGUUGAUGACAUCACGCCCGGUCCCCACCCCCGCUCACGCGCUCGCGCCACCCUGAGCAAGAUGGCGUCGCGAGGGGGCCCGCGCGUUGCCUUGGAGACGGCGCGACGCGGUGGCGGCGCGGCGCGAAUCUCGCGCGGCGGCGGCGGUGACUCCUCGCUGAGUCCACCCGAGGCAGAGUCGCUGAGUCCACCCCAGUCAGAGUUCCUGAGUCCACCCGAGUCUCCCUCGGUCGACCAUAGUCAGGGUCCCUCAGUCGACCCCAGUCAGGGUCCCUCAGUCGACCCCAGUCAGGGUGCUUAAGUCAACCAGAGUGUCCCUCAGUCGACCCGAGUCAGGGUGCUUAAGUCAACCAGAGUGUCCCUCAGUCGACCCCAGUCAGGGUGCUUAAGUCAACCAGAGUGUCCCUCAGUCGACCCUAGUCAGGGUGCUUAAGUCAACCAGAGUGUCCCUCAGUCGACCCUAGUCAGGGUGCUUAAGUCAACCAGAGUGUCCCUCAGUCGACCCUAGUCAGGGUGCUCAAGUCAACCAGAGUGUCCCUCAGUCGGCCCUAGUCAUGGUGCUUAAGUCAACCAGAGUGUCCCUCAGUCGACCCUAGUCAGGGUGCUUAAGUCAAUCAGAGUGUCCCUCAGUCGACCCUAGUCAGGGUGCUUAAGUCAACCAGAGUGUCCCUCAGUCGACCCUAGUCAGGGUGCUUAAGUCAACCAGAGUGUCCCUCAGUCGACCCUAGUCAUGGUGCUUAAGUCAACCAGAGUGUCCCUCAGUCGAUCCUAGUCAGGGUCCCUAAGUCAACCAGAGUGUCCCUCAGUCGACCCUAGUCAGGGUCCUUAAGUCAACCAGAGUGUCCCUCAGUCGACCCCAGUCAGGGUCCUUAAGUCAACCAGAGUGUGCCUCAGUCGACCCUAGUCAGGGUGCUUAAGUCAACCAGAGUGUGCCUCAGUUGACCCUAGUCAGGGUGCUUAAGUCAACCAGAGUGUCCCUCAGUCGACCCUAGUCAGGGUGCUUAAGUCAACCAGAGUGUCCCUCAGUCCACCCGUGUCAGAUGUAUUGAGUCGACCCAAAUCUCCCUCAGUCCACCCGUGUCAGAGUUCCUAAGUCGACCCGAAUAUCGCCGAGUCUACCUGAGAGUGGAGCGAGAGUCGUGGAGCGAGAGUCAAGGAGCGAGAGUCAAGGAGCGAGAGUCAAGGAGCGAGAGUCAAGGAACUUUUGAGACGGAGUCCUCGUCGCCGCUCGCACCACCAGCCGCGACUCGGCUGCCAAGGAGGAAGUGCGACCAACGUGUGGCGAGACCGCACACGCGGUGCACGCACACGCACGCGACGGUGCAGCUGUGCCAGUGAUGAUGACACUCAUCAGUGUUUCCUCGUGCUGCUGUGACGGUGGGAGUCGGGCAGCGCUGUGAGCGAGCGGUGCUGUGAGUACACGGUGCGUUAUUGCAGUGUCUCCGAGUGGUGAGCGACAGUGGGAGUCUAGGGCAGCGCUGCGAGUGAGCGGUGCUGUGAGUACACGGUGCGUUAUUGCAGUGUCUCCGAGUGGUGAGUGACAGUGGGAGUCUAGGGCGGUGCUGCGAGUGAGCGGUGCUGUGAGUACACGGUGCGUUAUUGCAGUGUCUCCGAGUGGUGAGUGACAGUGGGAGUCUAGGGCGGUGCUGUGAGUACACGGUGCUUCAUUGCAGUGUCUCCGAGUGGUGAGUGACAGUGGGAGUCUAGGGCAGCGCUGCGAGUGAGCGGUGCUCUGAGUACACGGUGCUUUGUUGCAGUGUCUCCGAGUGGUGAGUGACAGUGGGAGUCUUGGGCGGUGCUGUGAGUGUGCGGUGCGUUAUCACAGUGUAUCCUAAUAGUGAAUCAGUGGUAGUCUCGGUCGGUGCCGUCAAUGUGCGGUGCGCUGGGACUGCUGGUGAGAUAGGGAAGUGAAUGCGGUGUUGGUAACGCGGCGAGUGUGACACAAGCACCGGUAUUGAUCCGCGACACGGGCCACUGCCCGCGUCCCCGUGUGUCCCCACGCGUCCUCUGACGUGUCUCCGUGAGACUCCGCGCGUCGCCGUGAGUCUCUGUGUGUCUCUGUGUCCACUUGUGCCUUCCUUCGUGUGCCCUCCCAUGUCACAAUAUGUCAUCCUGUGUCUCUCUAUGUUUCGUAGAUUCUCCCCGUGUCCCUUUGUAUGUCUCCGUGUUCCCCUGUGCCUCCCUCUAUCCCCGUGUCUCUCUGUGUCCCCUUGUCCCCCUGCUGUCCCCCGCCGUAUCUCAACUGUGCGCUUGAGUCUCAUUCUGUCAGUUCUCUCGAUAUGAAAACGCUCCGCAAGGAAAAACGUCCAAACAUCCCAGUGCAGGACUCUCCUUGGGAAGCGUCUUGAGACUCGAUGACUCUUUGCUCGAUAAACAACUCUCUUGAUCAAUCUUGCUUUUGAAAUGCAUUCUUGUGUCUCCGUGUGUCUCUGGUUUCAGCAGCACCACCAGCAGCAGCAUCAGUAGCAUCAGCAACAGCAGCAAAAACAACAACAGCACCAGCAGU